UACGUAGGGGGCUAGCGUUGUCCGGAAUCAUUGGGCGUAAAGAGCGUGUAGGCGGCCCGGUAAGUCCGCUGUGAAAGUCGGGGGCUCAACCCUCGAAUGCCGGUGGAUACUGUCGGGCUAGAGUGCGGAAGAGGCGAGUGGAAUUCCUGGUGUAGCGGUGAAAUGCGCAGAUAUCAGGAGGAACACCGGUGGCGAAGGCGGGUCUCUGGGCCGUAACUGACGCUGAGGAGCGAAAGCGUGGGGAGCAAACAGG
This 253-nucleotide ribosomal RNA is filed under the name uncultured bacterium. Its description in RNAcentral is "partial 16S ribosomal RNA". It matches the Rfam family "Bacterial small subunit ribosomal RNA", at positions 524 to 776 of the family's 1533-position model. The record is from RNAcentral.